GGGGAAUAUUGCACAAUGGGGGAAACCCUGAUGCAGCGACGCCGCGUGAGUGAAGAAGUACUUCGGUAUGUAAAGCUCUAUCAGCAGGGAAGAAAAUGACGGUACCUGACUAAGAAGCCCCGGCUAACUACGUGCCAGCAGCCGCGGUAAUACGUAGGGGGCAAGCGUUAUCCGGAUUUACUGGGUGUAAAGGGAGCGUAGGUGGUAUGGUAAGUCAGAUGUGAAAACCCGGGGCUCAACCCCGGGACUGCAUUUGAAACUAUCAGACUAGAGUGCAGGAGAGGUAAGUGGAAUUCCUAGUGUAGCGGUGAAAUGCGUAGAUAUUAGGAGGAACACCAGUGGCGAAGGCGGCUUACUGGACUGUAACUGACACUGAGGCUCGAAAGCGUGGGGAGCAAAC
RNAcentral lists this ribosomal RNA (400 nucleotides) under uncultured bacterium. RNAcentral's name for it is "bacterial SSU rRNA". It matches the Rfam family "Bacterial small subunit ribosomal RNA", at positions 356 to 773 of the family's 1533-position model. The record is from RNAcentral.